GACGAACGCUGGCGGCGUGCUUAACACAUGCAAGUCGAACGGAAAGGCCCUGCUUGCAGGGUACUCGAGUGGCGAACGGGUGAGUAACACGUGGGUGAUCUGCCCUGCACUUCGGGAUAAGCCUGGGAAACUGGGUCUAAUACCGGAUAGGAGCCAUUUUUAGUGUGAUGGUUGGAAAGUUUUUUCGGUGUAGGAUGAGCUCGCGGCCUAUCAGCUUGUUGGUGGGGUAAUGGCCUACCAAGGCGGCGACGGGUAGCCGGCCUGAGAGGGUGGACGGCCACAUUCGGACUGAGAUACGGCCCAGACUCCUACGGGAGGCAGCAGUGGGGAAUAUUGCACAAUGGGCGCAAGCCUGAUGCAGCGACGCCGCGUGGGGGAUGACGGCCUUCGGGUUGUAAACUCCUUUCGCUAGGGACGAAGCUUUUUGUGACGGUACCUAGAUAAGAAGCACCGGCUAACUACGUG
RNAcentral lists this ribosomal RNA (465 nucleotides) under uncultured bacterium. Its description in RNAcentral is "partial 16S ribosomal RNA". It matches the Rfam family "Bacterial small subunit ribosomal RNA", at positions 28 to 507 of the family's 1533-position model. The record is from RNAcentral.